Molecule: long non-coding RNA, 388 nt
Filed under: Rattus norvegicus (Norway rat)
Lineage: Eukaryota; Metazoa; Chordata; Mammalia; Rodentia; Muridae
Description: long non-coding RNA NONRATT009128
Source: RNAcentral
AGUAGUUCCCUUCAGAGUCUCUAAGGCCUAAUUACGAAUUCUUCGGUGUUACUGUGUUCCCUCUGGCCACAUGUUUCAUGCAGGUACUGUUUGUCAAAGCCCCAAAGGCCACCCUUUCAGGUGUGUGUUUCUGUAGGUCACGGUGACGAGCUUGUGUGGUGUGUCCCUCCUGGCCACCUGUCAUUCCCAGCUUACCUCCCUGGGAGCAGCGACUUAUGCUGGGUCGGAGCCAUUGUGCUGCGGUCCAGACUCACACUACCCUCGGGGUCUGCUGGUCACAGCAUCCACGUCCGGUGUUGCUGCCUGCCGGUUUACUGGGUGGCCACACUCAUCCCUUUUGUGCUAGCCCAACUUUAUUUACCUGUUAAUGAAAUCAAGAUACGCUAAG